Molecule: ribosomal RNA, 2925 nt
Filed under: Escherichia coli
Lineage: Bacteria; Pseudomonadati; Pseudomonadota; Gammaproteobacteria; Enterobacterales; Enterobacteriaceae
Description: 23S ribosomal RNA
Rfam family: Bacterial large subunit ribosomal RNA
Source: RNAcentral
GGGUUGUGAGGUUAAGCGACUAAGCGUACACGGUGGAUGCCCUGGCAGUCAGAGGCGAUGAAGGACGUGCUAAUCUGCGAUAAGCGUCGGUAAGGUGAUAUGAACCGUUAUAACCGGCGAUUUCCGAAUGGGGAAACCCAGUGUGAUUCGUCACACUAUCAUUAACUGAAUCCAUAGGUUAAUGAGGCGAACCGGGGGAACUGAAACAUCUAAGUACCCCGAGGAAAAGAAAUCAACCGAGAUUCCCCCAGUAGCGGCGAGCGAACGGGGAGCAGCCCAGAGCCUGAAUCAGUGUGUGUGUUAGUGGAAGCGUCUGGAAAGGCGCGCGAUACAGGGUGACAGCCCCGUACACAAAAAUGCACAUGCUGUGAGCUCGAUGAGUAGGGCGGGACACGUGGUAUCCUGUCUGAAUAUGGGGGGACCAUCCUCCAAGGCUAAAUACUCCUGACUGACCGAUAGUGAACCAGUACCGUGAGGGAAAGGCGAAAAGAACCCCGGCGAGGGGAGUGAAAAAGAACCUGAAACCGUGUACGUACAAGCAGUGGGAGCACGCUUAGGCGUGUGACUGCGUACCUUUUGUAUAAUGGGUCAGCGACUUAUAUUCUGUAGCAAGGUUAACCGAAUAGGGGAGCCGAAGGGAAACCGAGUCUUAACUGGGCGUUAAGUUGCAGGGUAUAGACCCGAAACCCGGUGAUCUAGCCAUGGGCAGGUUGAAGGUUGGGUAACACUAACUGGAGGACCGAACCGACUAAUGUUGAAAAAUUAGCGGAUGACUUGUGGCUGGGGGUGAAAGGCCAAUCAAACCGGGAGAUAGCUGGUUCUCCCCGAAAGCUAUUUAGGUAGCGCCUCGUGAAUUCAUCUCCGGGGGUAGAGCACUGUUUCGGCAAGGGGGUCAUCCCGACUUACCAACCCGAUGCAAACUGCGAAUACCGGAGAAUGUUAUCACGGGAGACACACGGCGGGUGCUAACGUCCGUCGUGAAGAGGGAAACAACCCAGACCGCCAGCUAAGGUCCCAAAGUCAUGGUUAAGUGGGAAACGAUGUGGGAAGGCCCAGACAGCCAGGAUGUUGGCUUAGAAGCAGCCAUCAUUUAAAGAAAGCGUAAUAGCUCACUGGUCGAGUCGGCCUGCGCGGAAGAUGUAACGGGGCUAAACCAUGCACCGAAGCUGCGGCAGCGACGCUUAUGCGUUGUUGGGUAGGGGAGCGUUCUGUAAGCCUGUGAAGGUGUACUGUGAGGUAUGCUGGAGGUAUCAGAAGUGCGAAUGCUGACAUAAGUAACGAUAAAGCGGGUGAAAAGCCCGCUCGCCGGAAGACCAAGGGUUCCUGUCCAACGUUAAUCGGGGCAGGGUGAGUCGACCCCUAAGGCGAGGCCGAAAGGCGUAGUCGAUGGGAAACAGGUUAAUAUUCCUGUACUUGGUGUUACUGCGAAGGGGGGACGGAGAAGGCUAUGUUGGCCGGGCGACGGUUGUCCCGGUUUAAGCGUGUAGGCUGGUUUUCCAGGCAAAUCCGGAAAAUCAAGGCUGAGGCGUGAUGACGAGGCACUACGGUGCUGAAGCAACAAAUGCCCUGCUUCCAGGAAAAGCCUCUAAGCAUCAGGUAACAUCAAAUCGUACCCCAAACCGACACAGGUGGUCAGGUAGAGAAUACCAAGGCGCUUGAGAGAACUCGGGUGAAGGAACUAGGCAAAAUGGUGCCGUAACUUCGGGAGAAGGCACGCUGAUAUGUAGGUGAAGUCCCUCGCGGAUGGAGCUGAAAUCAGUCGAAGAUACCAGCUGGCUGCAACUGUUUAUUAAAAACACAGCACUGUGCAAACACGAAAGUGGACGUAUACGGUGUGACGCCUGCCCGGUGCCGGAAGGUUAAUUGAUGGGGUCAGCGCAAGCGAAGCUCUUGAUCGAAGCCCCGGUAAACGGCGGCCGUAACUAUAACGGUCCUAAGGUAGCGAAAUUCCUUGUCGGGUAAGUUCCGACCUGCACGAAUGGCGUAAUGAUGGCCAGGCUGUCUCCACCCGAGACUCAGUGAAAUUGAACUCGCUGUGAAGAUGCAGUGUACCCGCGGCAAGACGGAAAGACCCCGUGAACCUUUACUAUAGCUUGACACUGAACAUUGAGCCUUGAUGUGUAGGAUAGGUGGGAGGCUUUGAAGUGUGGACGCCAGUCUGCAUGGAGCCGACCUUGAAAUACCACCCUUUAAUGUUUGAUGUUCUAACGUUGACCCGUAAUCCGGGUUGCGGACAGUGUCUGGUGGGUAGUUUGACUGGGGCGGUCUCCUCCUAAAGAGUAACGGAGGAGCACGAAGGUUGGCUAAUCCUGGUCGGACAUCAGGAGGUUAGUGCAAUGGCAUAAGCCAGCUUGACUGCGAGCGUGACGGCGCGAGCAGGUGCGAAAGCAGGUCAUAGUGAUCCGGUGGUUCUGAAUGGAAGGGCCAUCGCUCAACGGAUAAAAGGUACUCCGGGGAUAACAGGCUGAUACCGCCCAAGAGUUCAUAUCGACGGCGGUGUUUGGCACCUCGAUGUCGGCUCAUCACAUCCUGGGGCUGAAGUAGGUCCCAAGGGUAUGGCUGUUCGCCAUUUAAAGUGGUACGCGAGCUGGGUUUAGAACGUCGUGAGACAGUUCGGUCCCUAUCUGCCGUGGGCGCUGGAGAACUGAGGGGGGCUGCUCCUAGUACGAGAGGACCGGAGUGGACGCAUCACUGGUGUUCGGGUUGUCAUGCCAAUGGCACUGCCCGGUAGCUAAAUGCGGAAGAGAUAAGUGCUGAAAGCAUCUAAGCACGAAACUUGCCCCGAGAUGAGUUCUCCCUGACUCCUUGAGAGUCCUGAAGGAACGUUGAAGACGACGACGUUGAUAGGCCGGAUGUGUAAGCGCAGCGAUGCGUUGAGCUAACCGGUACUAAUGAACCGUGAGGCUUAACCUUACAACGCCGAAG